RNAcentral lists this long non-coding RNA (524 nucleotides) under Salvia miltiorrhiza (redroot sage). Its description in RNAcentral is "long non-coding RNA (SMIL_LNC004188)". The record is from RNAcentral. Lineage: Eukaryota; Viridiplantae; Streptophyta; Magnoliopsida; Lamiales; Lamiaceae.
AUUAAUCCAGGUGCAGAUGAAGUCAGGUAUCUGUCCUGUGAAGUCUAUUUGUGCAAGUAGUACGUCUAUCUGUGCAAGUAGUAUAUCUAACUGUGCAACUUUUUGGCUACCACUUAUCCAAAAACUGACCUAAUAUGAAAUGUAAGAAAAACAACCAAACAUGCUAGUGGGGAUGGAAAACUCAACAUACAUGAACCACCACAUAUUUAUCUGUGCAACCACGAAGUCUAACUGUGCAAGUAGUAAGUCUAUCUAUGCAACCAAUCACCAGAUCCUGACAUCGCUGUGUAAUUGCUUCGAUAAGCCAUUGCCGACGCCUGCAUUGAAGAUUUCGUGAAUCUGCCGCUGCAUCCUGAAAUCUCUGUAUAUAGGGUUUCGAGUGGCCAUCGCCGGCGCCUGGAAUCGCCGCCGUCGUCUGAAGAUCGCCAAUCAUAAUUUUGCAUAGAUUUGCAGUCGACGCUUAGUGCAAAGAUGGAGUCUUUUUAUUAAACCCUAGAGAAUGAAAGUGGGGAAGUAAAUCCAGG